GCAUAUCAAUAAGCGGAGGAAAAGAAACCAACAGGGAUUGCCUUAGUAACGGCGAGUGAAGCGGCAACAGCUCAAAUUUGAAAUCUGGCUCUUUCAGAGUCCGAGUUGUAAUUUGCAGAGGGCGCUUUGGCUUUGGCAGCGGUCCAAGUUCCUUGGAACAGGACGUCACAGAGGGUGAGAAUCCCGUACGUGGUCGCUAGCUAUUGCCGUGUAAAGCCCCUUCGACGAGUCGAGUUGUUUGGGAAUGCAGCUCUAAAUGGGAGGUAAAUUUCUUCUAAAGCUAAAUAUUGGCCAGAGACCGAUAGCGCACAAGUAGAGUGAUCGAAAGAUGAAAAGCACUUUGGAAAGAGAGUCAAACAGCACGUGAAAUUGUUGAAAGGGAAGCGCUUGCAGCCAGACUUGCUUGCAGUUGCUCAUCCGGGCUUUUGCCCGGUGCACUCUUCUGCAGGCAGGCCAGCAUCAGUUUGGGCGGUGGGAUAAAGGUCUCUGACACGUUCCUUCCUUCGGGUUGGCCAUAUAGGGGAGACGUCAUACCACCAGCCUGGACUGAGGUCCGCGCAUCUGCUAGGAUGCUGGCGUAAUGGCUGUAAGCGGCCCGUCUUGAAACACGGACCAAGGAGUCUAACAUCUAUGCGAGUGUUUGGGUGUCAAGCCCGAGCGCGUAAUGAAAGUGAACGGAGGUGGGAACCCGCAAGGGCGCACCAUCGACCGAUCCUGAAGUUUACGGAAGGAUUUGAGUAAGAGCAUGGCUGUUGGGACCCGAAAGAUGGUGAACUAUGCUUGAAUAGGGUGAAGCCAGAGGAAACUCUGGUGGAGGCUCGCAGCGGUUCUGACGUGCAAAUCGAUCGUCAAAUUUGGGCAUAGGGGCGAAAGACUAAUCGAACUAUCUAGUAGCUGGUUUCCUGCCGAAGUUCCCUCA
RNAcentral lists this ribosomal RNA (919 nucleotides) under Curvularia cymbopogonis. RNAcentral describes it as "LSU rRNA". It matches the Rfam family "Eukaryotic large subunit ribosomal RNA", at positions 38 to 975 of the family's 3401-position model. Lineage: Eukaryota; Fungi; Ascomycota; Dothideomycetes; Pleosporales; Pleosporaceae. The record is from RNAcentral.